UUGACCCGGCGAUGUCCGAAUGGGGAAACCCAGUGCAAUCCGUUGCACUAUCGUUAACUGAAUACAUAGGUUAACGAGGCGAACCGGGGGAACUGAAACAUCUAAGUACCCCGAGGAAAAGAAAUCAACCGAGAUUCCCCCAGUAGCGGCGAGCGAACGGGGAGCAGCCCGGAGUCUGAAUCAGCUUGUGUGUUAGUGGAACGGUCUGGAAAGUCCGACGGUACAGGGUGAUAGUCCCGUACACGAAAGCACACAUGCUGUGAACUCGAAGAGUAGGGCGGGACACGUGGUAUCCUGUCUGAAUAUGGGGGGACCAUCCUCCAAGGCUAAAUACUCCUGACUGACCGAUAGUGAACCAGUACCGUGAGGGAAAGGCGAAAAGAACCCCGGCGAGGGGAGUGAAAAAGAACCUGAAACCGUGUACGUACAAGCAGUGGGAGCCUCUUUAUGGGGUGACUGCGUACCUUUUGUAUAAUGGGUCAGCGACUUAUAUUCUGUAGCAAGGUUAACCGUAUAGGGGAGCCGAAGGGAAACCGAGUCUUAACUGGGCGUUAAGUUGCAGGGUAUAGACCCGAAACCCGGUGAUCUAGCCAUGGGCAGGUUGAAGGUUGGGUAACACUAACUGGAGGACCGAACCGACUAAUGUUGAAAAAUUAGCGGAUGACCUGUGGCUGGGGGUGAAAGGCCAAUCAAACCGGGAGAUAGCUGGUUCUCCCCGAAAGCUAUUUAGGUAGCGCCUCGUGAACUCAUCUUCGGGGGUAGAGCACUGUUUCGGCUAGGGGGCCAUCCCGGCUUACCAACCCGAUGCAAACUACGAAUACCGAAGAAUGUUAUCACGGGAGACACACGGCGGGUGCUAACGUCCGUCGUGAAGAGGGAAACAACCCAGACCGCCAGCUAAGGUCCCAAAGUCAUGGUUAAGUGGGAAACGAUGUGGGAAGGCACAGACAGCCAGGAUGUUGGCUUAGAAGCAGCCAUCAUUUAAAGAAAGCGUAAUAGCUCACUGGUCGAGUCGGCCUGCGCGGAAGAUGUAACGGGGCUAAACCAUGCACCGAAGCUGCGGCAGCGACACUUAUGUGUUGUUGGGUAGGGGAGCGUUCUGUAAGCCGUUGAAGGUGUGCUGUGAGGCAUGCUGGAGGUAUCAGAAGUGCGAAUGCUGACAUAAGUAACGAUAAAGCGGGUGAAAAGCCCGCUCGCCGGAAGACCAAGGGUUCCUGUCCAACGUUAAUCGGGGCAGGGUGAGUCGACCCCUAAGGCGAGGCCGAAAGGCGUAGUCGAUGGGAAACAGGUUAAUAUUCCUGUACUUGGUGUUACUGCGAAGGGGGGACGGAGAAGGCUAUGUCAGCCGGGCGACGGUUGUCCCGGUUUAAGCAUGUAGGCGGAGGUUCCAGGUAAAUCCGGUACCUUGUUAACGCUGAGGUGUGAUGACGAGGCACUACGGUGCUGAAGUGAUAAAUGCCCUGCUUCCAGGAAAAGCCUCUAAGCAUCAGGUAACACGAAAUCGUACCCCAAACCGACACAGGUGGUCAGGUAGAGAAUACCAAGGCGCUUGAGAGAACUCGGGUGAAGGAACUAGGCAAAAUGGUGCCGUAACUUCGGGAGAAGGCACGCUGAU
This 1615-nucleotide ribosomal RNA is filed under the name Enterobacter hormaechei. Its description in RNAcentral is "partial 23S ribosomal RNA". It matches the Rfam family "Bacterial large subunit ribosomal RNA", at positions 99 to 1755 of the family's 2925-position model. Lineage: Bacteria; Pseudomonadati; Pseudomonadota; Gammaproteobacteria; Enterobacterales; Enterobacteriaceae. The record is from RNAcentral.